Molecule: unclassified non-coding RNA, 342 nt
Filed under: soil metagenome
Description: partial contains 5.8S ribosomal RNA, internal transcribed spacer 2, and large subunit ribosomal RNA
Rfam family: 5.8S ribosomal RNA (bases 1-120)
Source: RNAcentral
GAUGAAGAACGUAGCGAAAUGCGAUAAGUAAUGUGAAUUGCAGAAUUCAGUGAAUCAUCGAAUCUUUGAACGCACAUUGCGCCCGCCAGCACUCUGGCGGGCAUGCCUGUUCGAGCGUCAUUUCAACCAUCAAGCCCCCAGGGGCUUGUGCUGGGGCCCUGCGGCUGCCCGCAGGCCCUGAAAACCAGUGGCGGGCUCGCUAGUCACACCGAGCGCAGUAGCACAUCUCGCUCAGGGCGUGCGGCGGGCUCCUGCCGUGAAACCCCCCACUGUAACCCCAAAGGUUGACCUCGGAUCAGGUAGGAAUACCCGCUGAACUUAAGCAUAUCAAUAAGCGGAGGC